RNAcentral lists this ribosomal RNA (461 nucleotides) under uncultured bacterium. RNAcentral describes it as "bacterial SSU rRNA". It matches the Rfam family "Bacterial small subunit ribosomal RNA", at positions 28 to 502 of the family's 1533-position model. The record is from RNAcentral.
GACGAACGCUGGCGGCGUGCUUCAUACAUGCAAGUCGAACGAGAAAUUCACUUCGGUGGAUGGAAAGUGGCGGACGGGUGAGUAAUAUGUAGGAAAUCUGCCCUUAAGAGGGGGACAACAGAGGGAAACUUCUGCUAAUACCCCAUAUGAGCGUAGCUGAAAUGCUAUUCUUGAAAACUCCGGUGCUUAAGGAUGAGCCUGCAUCUGAUUAGCUAGUUGGGGGUGUAAUGGACCACCAAGGCGACGAUCAGUAGCCGGACUGAGAGGUUGACCGGCCACAUUGGGACUGAGAUACGGCCCAGACUCCUACGGGAGGCAGCAGUGGGGAAUAUUGGGCAAUGGACGCAAGUCUGACCCAGCAACGCCGCGUGAAGGAAGAAGGGCCCUUCGGGUUUGGUAAACUUACUUUUACCUAGGGACGAAGUAAUGACGGUACCUGGAGAAAAGACAACGGACUAACU